RNAcentral lists this ribosomal RNA (1411 nucleotides) under metagenome. RNAcentral's name for it is "bacterial SSU rRNA". It matches the Rfam family "Bacterial small subunit ribosomal RNA". The record is from RNAcentral.
AGAGUUUGAUCCUGGCUCAGGAUGAACGCUAGCGGGAGGCUUAACACAUGCAAGUCGAGGGGUAACAGGUUGGAAUUUCGGUUUCGACGCUGACGACCGGCGAACGGGUGAGUAACGCGUAUGCAACCUACCUUUUACAGGGGAAUAGCUUUCGGAAACGGAAAUUAAUACCCCAUAACGCUGCACUGUGGCAUCACAGAGCAGUUAAAACUCCGGUGGUAAAAGAUGGGCAUGCGUAACAUUAGCUAGUUGGUAAGGUAACGGCUUACCAAGGCUGCGAUGUUUAGGGGACCUGAGAGGGUGAUCCCCCACACUGGUACUGAGACACGGACCAGACUCCUACGGGAGGCAGCAGUGAGGAAUAUUGGUCAAUGGGCGCAAGCCUGAACCAGCCAUCCCGCGUGCAGGAAGACGGCCCUAUGGGUUGUAAACUGCUUUUUCUGAAGGAAGAAUAAUUCCGAGUUUUUCGGGAGAUGACGGUACUUCAGGAAUAAGCAUCGGCUAACUCCGUGCCAGCAGCCGCGGUAAUACGGAGGAUGCAAGCGUUAUCCGGAUUUAUUGGGUUUAAAGGGUGCGUAGGCGGGCUAAUAAGUCAGUGGUGAAAUCUCUCGGCUCAACCGGGAAACUGCCAUUGAUACUGUUAGUCUUGAGUUCGGUUGAGGUAGGCGGAAUGUGUAAUGUAGCGGUGAAAUGCUUAGAUAUUACACAGAACACCAAUUGCGUAGGCAGCUUACUAGACCGACACUGACGCUGAGGCACGAAAGCGUGGGGAGCGAACAGGAUUAGAUACCCUGGUAGUCCACGCCGUAAACUAUGAUUACUCGUUGUUGGCGAUACACAGUCAGCGACCAAGCGAAAGCGAUAAGUAAUCCACCUGGGGAGUACGCUCGCAAGAGUAAAACUCAAAGGAAUUGACGGGGGCCCGCACAAGCGGUGGAACAUGUGGUUUAAUUCGAUGAUACGCGAGGAACCUACCUGGGCUUAAAUGUAGAGUGCAUAAGUGGGAAACCAUUUUUUCCUUCGGGACUCUUUACAAGGUGCUGCAUGGUUGUCGUCAGCUCGUGCCGUGAGGUGUCGGGUUAAGUCCCAUAACGAGCGCAACCCUUAUCAUUAGUUGCCAUCGGGUAAUGCCGGGGACUCUAAUGAAACUGCCACCGUAAGGUGAGAGGAAGGUGGGGAUGACGUCAAAUCAGCACGGCCCUUAUGUCCAGGGCUACACACGUGUUACAAUGGUCGGUACAGAGGGCAGCUACCUGGUGACAGGAUGCCAAUCUCUAAAGCCGGUCCAAGUUCGGAUCGAAGUCUGCAACUCGACUUCGUGAAGCUGGAAUCGCUAGUAAUCGUAUAUCAGCAAUGAUACGGUGAAUACGUUCCCGGGCCUUGUACACACCGCCCGUCAAGCCAUGGAAGC